UAAUGAUGGGUAGGGGAGCUUCCCAUACGGGUUGAAGCAUGACCGUAAGGACAUGUGGACAGUAUGGGAGUGAGAAUGUUGGCAUGAGUAGCGAGAUGUGGGUGAGAAUCCCACAGGCCGUAAACCCAAGGUUUCCAGGGGAAGGUUCGUCCGCCCUGGGUUAGUCGGGACCUAAGCUGAGGCCGAAAGGCGUAGGUGAUGGACAACAGGUUGAUAUUCCUGUACUACCGAUAACCGUUUGAGAGAAGGGAUGACACAGUAGGAUAAGCUAAGCACACUGUUGGUUAUGUGUGCCCAAGCAUUGAGGCAGUCAAAGCAGGCAAAUCCGCUUUGAUAAUGCUGGGAUGUGAUGGGGAGCGAAAUUUAGUAGCGAAGUAGCUGAUUUCACACUGUCAAGAAAAGUCUCUAUCGAGGUUAAAGGUACCCGUACCGCAAACCGACACAGGUGGGUGAGGAGAGUAUCCUAAGGCCAGCGAGAGAACUGUUGUUAAGGAACUCGGCAAAAUGACCCCGUAACUUAGGGAUAAGGGGUGCCACCAUCCGGUGGCCGCAGAGAAUAGGCCCAAGCGACUGUUUACCAAAAACAUAGGUUUCUGCUAAGUCGCAAGACGAUGUAUAGGAGCUGACGCCUGCCCGGUGCUGGAAGGUUAAGGGGAUCUGUUAGAGCAAUCGAAGCAGUGAACUUAAGCCCCAGUAAACGGCGGCCGUAACUAUAACGGUCCUAAGGUAGCGAAAUUCCUUGUCGGGUAAGUUCCGACCCGCACGAAAGGCGUAACGAUUUGGGCACUGUCUCAACAACAGACUCGGUGAAAUUGUAAUUCCGGUGAAGAUGCCGGAUACCUGCGACAGGACGGAAAGACCCCAUGGAGCUUUACUGUAGCUUGACAUUGGGUCUUGGUACUACAUGUACAGGAUAGGUGGGAGGCUUUGAAACCAGGACGCCAGUUUUGGCGGAGCCAUCCUUGGGAUACCACCCUUGUAGUACUGGGACUCUAACCAUAGGCCAUGAAUCUGGUCUUGGGACACUGUCAGGUGGGCAGUUUGACUGGGGCGGUCGCCUCCCAAAAGGUAACGGAGGCGCUCAAAGGUUCUCUCAGUACGGUCGGAAAUCGUACGUAGAGUGUAAAGGCAAAAGAGAGCUUGAUUGCAAGACAUACAGGUCGAGCAAGGAUGAAAAUCGGACUUAGUGAUCCGGUGGUUCUGCGUGGAAGGGCCAUCGCUCAACGGAUAAAAGCUACCCUGGGGAUAACAGGCUUAUCUCCCCCAAGAGUCCACAUCGACGGGGAGGUUUGGCACCUCGAUGUCGGCUCAUCACAUCCUGGGGCUGUAGUAGGUCCCAAGGGUUGGGCUGUUCGCCCAUUAAAGUGGUACGCGAGCUGGGUUCAGAACGUCGUGAGACAGUUCGGUCCCUAUCCGUCGCAGGCGUAGGAAAUUUGAGAAGACCUGUCCUUAGUACGAGAGGACCGGGAUGGACGU
This 1476-nucleotide ribosomal RNA is filed under the name Clostridioides difficile. RNAcentral's name for it is "partial 23S ribosomal RNA". It matches the Rfam family "Bacterial large subunit ribosomal RNA", at positions 1219 to 2704 of the family's 2925-position model. Lineage: Bacteria; Bacillati; Bacillota; Clostridia; Peptostreptococcales; Peptostreptococcaceae. The record is from RNAcentral.